RNAcentral lists this ribosomal RNA (301 nucleotides) under uncultured bacterium. Its description in RNAcentral is "partial 16S ribosomal RNA". It matches the Rfam family "Bacterial small subunit ribosomal RNA", at positions 509 to 807 of the family's 1533-position model. The record is from RNAcentral.
CAGCAGCCGCGGUAAUACGAAGGGUGCAAGCGUUAAUCGGAAUUACUGGGCGUAAAGCGUGCGUAGGCGGUUAUAUAAGACAGUUGUGAAAUCCCCGGGCUCAACCUGGGAACUGCAUCUGUGACUGUAUAGCUAGAGUACGGUAGAGGGGGAUGGAAUUCCGCGUGUAGCAGUGAAAUGCGUAGAUAUGCGGAGGAACACCGAUGGCGAAGGCAAUCCCCUGGACCUGUACUGACGCUCAUGCACGAAAGCGUGGGGAGCAAACAGGAUUAGAUACCCCGGUAGUCCCUGUCUCUUAUAC